UGAGGAAUAUUGGGCAAUGCCCGAAAGGGUGACCCAGCAACGCCGCGUGGAGGAUGAAGGUCGUAAGAUUGUAAACUCCUGUUAGAGGGGAAGAAUAACUAAGUUUGGAGCUUAGUAUGACUGUACCCUCAGAGAAAACCCCGGCUAACUACGUGCCAGCAGCCGCGGUAAUACGUAGGGGGCAAGCGUUGUCCGGAUUUACUGGGUGUAAAGGGCGCGCAGGCGGAAUGGAAAGUCAGUGGUGAAAUCCUACAGCUUAACUGUAGAACUGCCUUUGAUACUUUCAUUCUUGAGUUCGGGAGAGAGAGACGGAAUUCCAGGUGUAGUGGUGAAAUACGUAGAUAUCUGGAAGAACACCAGUUGCGAAGGCGGUCUCUUGGUCCGACACUGACGCUGAGGCGCGAAAGCGUGGGGAGCAAACA
This 422-nucleotide ribosomal RNA is filed under the name uncultured bacterium. Its description in RNAcentral is "bacterial SSU rRNA". It matches the Rfam family "Bacterial small subunit ribosomal RNA", at positions 355 to 774 of the family's 1533-position model. The record is from RNAcentral.